CCUACGGGGGGUAGCAGUGAGGAAUAUUGGUCAAUGGGCGCGAGUCUGAACCAGCCAAGUAGCGUGAAGGAUGACUGCCCUACGGGUUGUAAACUUCUUUUAUAAAGGAAUAAAGUGAGGCACGUGUGCCUUGUUGUAUGUACUUUAUGAAUAAGGAUCGGCUAACUCCGUGCCAGCAGCCGCGGUAAUACGGAGGAUCCGAGCGUUAUCCGGAUUUAUUGGGGUUAAAGGGAGCGUAGAUGGGUUGUUAAGUCAGUUGUGAAAGUUUGCGGCUCAACCGUAAAAUUGCAAUUGAUACUGGCAGUCUUGAGUACAGUUGAGGUAGGCGGAAUUCGUGGUGUAGCGGUGAAAUGCUUAGAUAUCACGAAGAACUCCGAUUGCGAAGGCAGCUUACUAAACUGCCACUGACAUUGAUGCUCGAAAGUGUGGGUAUCAAACAGGAUUAGAUACCCGAGUAGUC
This 460-nucleotide ribosomal RNA is filed under the name uncultured bacterium. RNAcentral's name for it is "partial 16S ribosomal RNA". It matches the Rfam family "Bacterial small subunit ribosomal RNA", at positions 338 to 795 of the family's 1533-position model. The record is from RNAcentral.